Pseudohyphozyma bogoriensis is the source of this 86-nucleotide non-coding RNA. The record is from the annotation of a GenBank genome assembly. Lineage: Eukaryota; Fungi; Basidiomycota; Microbotryomycetes; Chrysozymaceae.
GCCCGGAUGGUCUAGAGGUAUGAUUCUCCGUUUGGGUAUUUCAUCUGAAAUCGGAGAGGUCCCGCGUUCAAUCCGCGGUUCGGGCC